GGUGUCAAUGACGCUUAGGACCCACCUGUUCCCAUCCCGAACACAGAAGUUAAGCUAAGCGGUGCCGAAGAUACUUGGUGGGUGACCGCCUGGAAAAAUAGGUCGAUGCCAG
This 112-nucleotide ribosomal RNA is filed under the name uncultured Pseudoruminococcus sp. Lineage: Bacteria; Bacillati; Bacillota; Clostridia; Eubacteriales; Acutalibacteraceae. The record is from RNAcentral.